AAAAAUUCCUGCCCUGCCCAGGACUUAAGUGCUCCUCACAGGCCCCGCCUGCGGCCCACGUUUUCUGGCAGCGACCGGGCGGAGUUUCUUGCAGACCCGGAAGCGGCCAAGGUAGAGAGAAGGCCUGGUUGGCGACCGUGACUUUCAGUGUUUGUGGUUUAAUUCUGAGCGUCUCAGUCCACCGUCCUGCACUCCUGACGCCUGGGGAUCAGUACCGACGUUGAAGUCCCCGCACCCGCGCCCCCUACAGCGGAGCUUCUUCUCCCUGACCUGUGAGAAGGGACAGAAAGGGGCGACCUUCUCAGCAUUUCAGGGUCCUUCUGGCUGUCAGUUUGGAGGAAGUAGAUGAAGGGUCUGAGCUGACGCCCUUGUGGGCACAUUCUCAAGAUGCAGAUGUGAUUCCUCCCCAGAACUUCACCUGAGGAAACAACCCAGAGCCGAAAUGGCUACUUCUCAGGGACAGUUGACAUUCAUGGAUGUGGCCAUAGAUUUCUCUCAGGAGGAGUGGGAGUGCCUGCACCCGACUGAGCGGGAACUGUACAUGGACGUGAUGCUGGAGAACUACAGGAACCUGUGCUCCCUGGGUGAGGGAACUUCCUUCCAGAACUCUUACCCCACCGCAGGGGUGUGUUUCCUUCAUCAGUACAG
This is a long non-coding RNA of Hipposideros armiger (great roundleaf bat), 648 nucleotides long. RefSeq lists it as uncharacterized. The record is from RefSeq and is a predicted model, not a curated record. NCBI's taxonomy places the organism in Eukaryota, Metazoa, Chordata, Mammalia, Chiroptera, Hipposideridae. The transcript has 3 exons.